GAUGAACGCUAGCUACAGGCUUAACACAUGCAAGUCGAGGGACCGGCGCACGGGUGAGUAACACGUAUCCAACCUACCCUUUACUCGGGGAUAGCCUUGCGAAAGAAAGAUUAAUACACGAUAUAAAGGAGGGGGAGUCUUUCCAUUAGAUUGUUGGGUAGGUAACGGCUCACCAAGCCUUCGAAGGAGAGGGGUUCUGAGAGGAAGGUCCCCUACAUUGGAACUGAGACACGGUCCAAACUCCUACGGGAGGCAGAAGUGAGGAAUAUUGGGCAAUGGGCGCUAGUCUGAACCAGCCAAGUAGUGUGAAGGAUGAAGGCUUAUGGUUCGUAAUCUUGUUUUAUAUAAGAAUAUGUAUUAUAUGAAUAAGGAUCGGCUAACGCCGUGCCAGCAGCCGCGGUAAUUC
RNAcentral lists this ribosomal RNA (406 nucleotides) under uncultured bacterium. RNAcentral describes it as "partial 16S ribosomal RNA". It matches the Rfam family "Bacterial small subunit ribosomal RNA", at positions 28 to 526 of the family's 1533-position model. The record is from RNAcentral.